Molecule: unclassified non-coding RNA, 338 nt
Filed under: rhizosphere metagenome
Description: partial ribosomal RNA internal transcribed spacer region
Source: RNAcentral
GUAGGUGAACCUGCGGAAGGAUCAUUAACAAAUCUCUUUCAACAAACCAAUGUGUCACUUACUGUGUGUGUCUGUGUCUGUGUGUGUCUGCGUAGUGUUGUGUGUGCGUGUGUCUGUGUAUCUGUGUGGUGGUGGUGGUUGUUGUUCCUGGAGUGGGGAGUCCAGGACCAUCCAACGCCCACCCACCCACACUGAUACACAGACCACAUUAUACACUCCACUACUAGCUAGCGCGCACACCCACACCCGCACAAUAACAACAACGAUAGUCAGAGCAACAUCAUGUGUAUAUUAUAUAUAACAAACAACAACUUUUAACAAUGGAUCUCUUGGCUCUU